Molecule: RNA transcript, 6773 nt
Organism: Lagopus muta (rock ptarmigan)
Lineage: Eukaryota; Metazoa; Chordata; Aves; Galliformes; Phasianidae
Gene: KIF21B
Gene name: kinesin family member 21B
Exons: 36
Source: RefSeq, a predicted model, not a curated record
CGCCCGGCCCGCCCCGCGGCACCUGGGGCCGCCCCGCCGCCCCCUCCUCCUCCUCCUCCUCCUCCUUCUCCUCCUCCUGCACCUCCCCGCUCCCUCCUCCCUCCCUCUUCCUCCUCUUCCCCCUCCCGCAGACGCGGAUGCUCUCGGGCAGCGGUGGCCGCGGUGCGGGGCGGUGGGGGCAUGGCGGCCCCGGACAGCUGCGUGAAGGUGGCGGUGAGGAUCCGUCCCCAGCUGUCCAAAGAGAAAAUCGAGGGAUGUCACAUCUGCACCUCCGUGACACCCGGUGAGCCCCAAGUGCUGCUGGGGAAGGACAAAGCCUUCACCUAUGACUUUGUCUUUGACCUGGACACGUGGCAGGAGCAGAUCUACACAACGUGCGUGGGCAAGCUCAUUGAAGGCUGCUUCGAGGGCUACAAUGCCACCGUGCUGGCGUACGGACAGACUGGCGCGGGAAAGACAUACACCAUGGGCACUGGCUUCGACAUGAGCAUCUCUGAGGAUGAGCAGGGCAUCAUCCCGCGGGCCAUCGGCCACCUCUUCAGCGGCAUUGAGGAGCGCAAGCGGGCGGCACAGAGUCAGGGGGUGGCAGCGCCUGAGUUCAAAGUCAGCGCCCAAUUCCUGGAGCUCUACAAUGAAGAGAUCCUGGACCUGUUUGACAGCACCCGUGACCCAGAUGCACGUCACCGCAAAUCCAACAUCAAAAUUCAUGAGGAUGCCAGCGGGAGCAUCUACACCACAGGGGUCACAUCGCGGCUCAUCAGCUCCCAGGACGAGCUCAUCCAGUGCCUGAAGCAGGGAGCUCUUUCCCGCACCACUGCCAGCACCCAGAUGAAUGUGCAGAGCUCCCGGUCCCACGCCAUCUUCACCAUUCAUCUGUGCCAGAUGAGAGUGUGUGCCCGCCCGGAGCUGGUGAACGGGGAGGUGACCGGCCUGCCGGAUGGAGCCCAGCCCACCACUGAGUACGAGACCCUCACAGCCAAGUUUCACUUUGUGGACCUGGCUGGCUCAGAGAGGCUGAAGAGAACGGGUGCUACUGGCGAGAGAGCCAAGGAAGGCAUCUCCAUCAACUGUGGGCUGCUGGCGCUGGGGAAUGUCAUCAGUGCCCUCGGAGACCAGAGCAAGAAAGCUGUGCAUGUGCCCUACCGCGACUCCAAGCUCACCCGCCUGCUGCAGGAUUCCCUCGGUGGCAACAGCCAAACCAUCAUGAUCGCUUGUGUGAGCCCAUCUGACCGCGACUUCAUGGAGACCCUGAACACUCUCAAGUAUGCCAACCGGGCUCGCAACAUCAAGAACAAGGUGGUGGUGAACCAGGACAAGACAAGUCAGCAGAUCAGUGCCCUGCGGGCUGAGAUCGCCCGUCUGCAGAUGGAGCUGAUGGAGUACAAGGCAGGCAAGAGGGUCAUUGGGGAGGACGGUUCAGAGGGCUACAGCGAUUUGUUCCGUGAGAACGCCAUGCUGCAGAAGGAGAACAGCGCCCUGCGCAUGCGGGUGAAGGCCAUGCAGGAGGCCAUCGACUCCAUCAACAACAGGGUCACCCAACUGAUGAGCCAGGAGGCCAACCUGAUGCUGGCCAAGGCAGGUGAUAGCAAUGAGGCCAUCGGUGCUCUCAUCCAGAACUACAUCCGAGAGAUUGAGGAGCUGAGGACGAAGCUCCUGGAGAGUGAAUCCAUGAAUGAGUCCUUGCGUCGCAGCCUCUCGCGCCUCUCUGCCCGUCCCCCCUACUCUGUGGGCUCAUCCCCAGCUCCUGGCCUGGCUGGGCUGGGCAGCCCUGCUGCCCCUGUGGAAACCGAGGCCUCUGACGUCCUGCGACGGGCCAAGCAGGACCUGGAGCGGCUGAAAAAGAAAGAGAGGAGGCAGCGGAGGAAAAGCCCAGAGAAGGAAGCAUUUAAGAAGCGGCCAAAGCUGCAGCAGGACAACGGGGAGGAGACGGAUGAGAAUGAAGCAGAAGAGGAGGAGGAGGAGGAAGAACAGGAUGAGAGUGGCUGUGAGGAAGAGGAUGGACGUGAGGAUGAAGAUGAGGACUCAGGCAGUGAAGAAAGCCUGGUGGACUCAGACUCGGAUGCAGAGGAGAAGGCGGUGAAUUUCCAGGCUGACCUUGCAGAUUUGACUUGUGAGAUAGAGAUCAAGCAGAAGCUGAUCGAUGAGCUGGAGAACAGCCAACGGCGCCUGCAGACGCUCAAGCACCAGUAUGAGGAGAAGCUGAUCCUGCUGCAGAACAAGAUCCGGGACACGCAGCUGGAGCGGGACCGGGUCCUGCAGAACCUCAGCACCAUGGAGUGCUACACAGAGGAGAAGGCCAACAAGAUCAAAGCAGACUAUGAAAAACGGCUGAAGGAGAUGAACAGGGACCUGCAGAAGCUGCAGGCUGCCCAGAAGGAACAUGCUCGCCUGCUCAAGAAUCAGUCCCGCUACGAGCGGGAGCUGAGGAAGCUGCAGGCAGAGGUGGCUGAGAUGAAGAAAGCAAAGGUCGCGCUGAUGAAGCAGAUGCGGGAGGAGCAGCAGCGGAGACGACUGGCAGAGACAAAGAGAAACAGGGAGAUAGCACAGCUCAAGAAGGAGCAGCGCCGGCAGGAGUUUCAGAUCCGGGCUCUGGAGUCUCAGAAGCGGCAGCAGGAAAUUGUGCUGCGAAGGAAAACUCAGGAGGUCUCAGCGCUGCGCCGUCUCGCCAAGCCCAUGUCCGACCGAGUUGCAGGCAGGACGAGCCAGAAGCCAGCCAUGCUGGACUCUGGUGCAGAGGUCUCAGCCAGCACCACCUCGUCUGAGCCAGAGUCCGGCGCUCGCUCCGUCUCCAGCAUCGUGCGCCAAUGGAACAGGAAAAUCAAUAACUUCCUGGGAGACCCCUCACCUUCUGUCAAUGGGGCUCGGCCAGUCAGGAAGAAGUUCCCCAAGAAGGGAUCGAGUCAGACCUUCAGUAAAGCUGCCCGCCUCAAGUGGCAGUCGCUGGAGCGGCGCAUCUUCGACAUCGUGAUGCAGAGGAUGACCAUCGUCAACCUGGAGGCUGACAUGGAGAGGCUCAUCAAGAAACGAGAGGAGCUGGCACUGCUGCAGGAGGCCCUGCUGGGCAAGAGGGCGAAACUGCAGGCAGAGAGCCCGAAGGAGCAGAAGGGGCUGCAGGAGCUGAACGAGGAGAUUGAGGUGCUGGGGGCCAACAUUGACUACAUCAAUGACAGCAUCUCUGACUGCCAAGCUACCAUCAUGCAGAUUGAGGAGACCAAGGAGGAGCUGGACUCCACGGACACCUCGGUGGUGAUCAGCUCCUGCUCCCUCGCUGAAGCCCGGCUGCUGCUGGACAACUUCCUGAAGGCAUCCAUCGACAAGGGCCUGCAGGUGGCACAGAAAGAGGCCCAGAUCCGCCUCCUGGAGGGACGGCUGAAGCAGACGGAUGUGACCGGCUCCUCGCAGAACCACCUCAUCCUGGAUGCCCUGCGGGAGAAGGCUGAGUCGCACCCUGAGCUCCAGGCGCUGAUUCACAACGUCCAGCAAGAGAACGGCUACACCAGCACAGAUGAGGAGGUCUCUGAAUUCAGCUUGGCUUCGGAUGGGAGCAUCUCCCAGUCUUUCAGCAUGAAGGGCUCAGCGAGUCAGGAUGAUUUCAAGUUCAAGGGAGAGCCCAAGCUCUCGGGGCAGAUGAAGGCAGUGUCAGCUGAAUGUCUAGGACCCACACUGGACAUCUCCACCAAGAACAUCACCAAGUCCUUGGCAUCGCUCAUGGAGAUCAAAGAGGAUGGGAUCAGCUUCUCAAUCCGAGACCCCUAUUACAAGGAGAAGGUGUCGCGCACCGUCAGCCUGCCCACGCGGGGGAGCACUUUUCCCAGACAAUCUCGUGUCUCAGACACGUCGCCUCUCACAAGGAGGAAAUCCUACGACCGUGGGCAACCUGCUAGGCCUCCAGAUGUCGGCUUCACUCCUCCCUCAUCGCCGCCCACACGCCCUCGCAAUGACCGCAAUGUCUUCUCUCGUCUCACGAGCAACCAGAGCCAGGGGUCUGCCUUGGACAAGUCUGAUGACAGCGAUUCCUCUGUCUCGGAGGUGCUGAGGGGCAUCAUUAAUCCAGUGGGUGGCACCAAGAACGCGCGGACAGCCCCGCUGCAGUGCGUCUCUGUGGCAGAAGGACACACCAAGCCUGUGCUCUGCCUGGAUGCCACCGAUGAACUGCUUUUCACUGGCUCCAAAGACCGGAGCUGUAAGAUGUGGAACUUGGUGACUGGUCAGGAAAUUGCUUCCCUCAAGGGUCACCCAAAUAACGUCGUUUCCAUCAAGUACUGCAGCCAUACGGGGUUGGUGUUCACCGUGUCCACGUCGUACAUCAAAGUGUGGGACAUCCGGGACUCAGCCCGCUGCAUCCGCACCCUCACGUCUUCUGGCCAGGUGAUCUCUGGGGAUGCGUGUGCUGGGACAACCACGCGCACUGUGACCAGUGUGCAGGGGGAGCACCAGAUCAACCAGAUCGCUCUCAACCCCACUGGCACCACCCUCUAUGCUGCCACUGGAAACUCCGUCCGCAUCUGGGAGCUGAGCAGGCUGCAGCCUGUUGGAAAGCUGAGUGGCCACAUUGGGCCCGUGAUGUGUCUCACGGUAAACCAGACUGCAAGCAACCAUGACCUGGUGGUGACAGGCUCCAAAGAUCACUACGUCAAGGUGUUUGAGAUUGCUGAGGGCGUGGUGGGCAAUGUCAGCCCCACUCACAACUUCGAGCCCCCUCACUACGAUGGCAUCGAGUGCCUGGCCAUCCAGGGAGACGUCCUCUUCAGCGGCUCCAGGGACAACGGCAUUAAAAAAUGGGAUCUGGAGCAGCAGGAACUUCUCCAGCAAAUCCCAAAUGCACACAAAGACUGGGUCUGUGCCCUGGCCUUCAUCCCUGGCCGCCCCAUGGUGCUGAGUGCCUGCCGAGGAGGCAUGAUCAAAGUCUGGAAUGUGGACAACUUCACCCCAGUUGGGGAGAUCAAAGGGCACGACAGCCCCAUCAACGCCAUCUGUACCAACUCCAAGCACAUCUUCACUGCCUCCAGUGACUGCCGGGUAAAGUUAUGGAAUUACGUGCCUGGGCUCACCCCUUGCCUUCCACGACGCGUCCUUGCCAUAAAGGGCCGUGCUACUAGUCUGCCUUGACCCUCCUGCUCUUUCUGACUCUCUUGCACAUGCACUCUUCUGUCUUUUAUUUCCUUUUCUCUCUCUCCAUCUCCUCUUCCCUCUGUCUUUCUUGCUGUUGCUUGCUUUUGUUCUUCUCUCUCUCUUUCUCUCUCUCUGGUCUGAGCUGCUUCUUAACGCGACCUGACAGUGAAGCUCUGGAGUGGGAGGAGGUUACCCACCAGCUCCAACUAGGAACUGCAGAACUGCUAGAAGAUGUGGCAGGAGGGUGAAGGCUGUGGUUCACCCCAUCAUCUAUGGGAACUCUGCCCAGGGAUGGGGAUUCUUGUGCCUGACCCGGCAGGGUGGGUGAGAUCCAUCUUGUCCCAUCCUUAAGCACUGACAGAUCCCGUGAAGAGGCAGCUCAACGAAGCACCGUCCGCUCCACUUUGCCUCCUGCUGCAGUUUCUCAGUGGUUUUCCAGUGACCAGGAAAGACUUCAUCUCUUUUCUCACCCACCCUACUGUGCUGCCUGCCAGGUCUGUGAGGGGUUGGAGUUCAGGUGAGCUUCCUGGCUCCUUUUCAGAGACACCCAGCUCCCUCCUGCCUCUGUGGCUUCAUGCAGCCUCUGCCUGGAUUUGCUGCUUUUGUCCCCGCUGUCUCCAGGCUGGUUCCUGCAAGAAUCUUUCUCUGUUCCACAGUCUCAAGGCUAUUUGAAGUCUUCUGGCUGGGACCAGAGGUCAGGUUGUUCUUUUUUCCUUUGGAGACAUUUCCUGUGGGACGUCCUCUGUGCUGCAGUGGAUCUGCAGAAGGACCUUCAUUUAGUUCCAUCCUUCCCUAACCUCAGCAUACCUGGCUGCAGCAGCUGGAGCUGCACAUCUGACCUGGCUCACCUGGAGCUUCCCUGCUGUGCCAUCACACCACUUCCAGCCCAACCCGCUGUGCUUCCCUGCAGCCAUCUCUGAAUUCCGACCGCAAACUCUGCUGACCCUCUCCCCUUCCCUGUGCGCCCACUUUGCUCUGUGGUGGGGUAGGGAAGGGUUUCUCACCCUCAGCUAUGGCUGCAGGUGGGUGAGGAUGGAGAUGGCUGUGCCAGGAGCAGAGCGCAGACAGGUUGGACGCUGGUCCUGCACGAGUCUCCCCAUGGCUGCAUGCCUGAAGGACAAUCCUACAGAGAAUGGUUGUGCACAGCUGGAGCCCUUCAGAAGGCUGAAGGCUCAGCCCAGUGUCAACGAGGAUGCAGCCUCUCCAGCUGCCCUGCUCGCUUUUCUCUGGUCAGGGGGCCGACAAGGCCCUGGUCUCACACUGGAGCUUUCUUCUACCUCUCCUGUGGUCCCUCGGAGCAUCCCCUGCUCCAUCUGCCCUGCCCCACGCUGGGCUCGUUGGGGAACGGCUGUGUUGACCCUGGGAGUGGUGUUCUCACCUUAUGUGCUCUCACUUCAUUUUUGCCACUGAAGAGACAACGUUUGAACUCGGAUUUAAGGAUUUCUCUGUGUGAUCCCAUUGGUGCUGAGCUAGGAUCUCGGAGGAGCUCCAGGAUGUGCCCCGUAAAGCACAGACCAGUUUCCUUCUGCUUUCUGCAGCCCUGUUUUUUUGUCACCAGCCCUUGUUCAAACCACUGCAGGAGGGAAUUUCUGCACACCUUGAAAUAGGAGCAUCUCUACUGACUUGAUGAAAUCUUUCUUCUUUUAUCAUUUGGGGGGGGG